RNAcentral lists this transfer RNA (66 nucleotides) under Anodonta anatina. Its description in RNAcentral is "tRNA-Phe". Lineage: Eukaryota; Metazoa; Mollusca; Bivalvia; Unionida; Unionidae. The record is from RNAcentral.
GGAAAAAUAGUUUAAGUUUUUGCAAACAUAACACUGAAAAUGUUAAAAUGACAUAGUCUUUAUCCA